This 500-nucleotide ribosomal RNA is filed under the name uncultured bacterium. Its description in RNAcentral is "partial 16S ribosomal RNA". It matches the Rfam family "Bacterial small subunit ribosomal RNA", at positions 30 to 523 of the family's 1533-position model. The record is from RNAcentral.
AUUGAACGCUGGCGGCAUGCCUUACACAUGCAAGUCGAACGGCAGCACGGGAGCAAUCCUGGUGGCGAGUGGCGAACGGGUGAGUAAAGUAUCGGAACGUGCCCAGUCGUGGGGGAUAACGUAGCGAAAGUUACGCUAAUACCGCAUACGAUCUAUGGAUGAAAGCGGGGGAUCGCAAGACCUCGCGCGAUUGGAGCGGCCGAUAUCAGAUCAGGUAGUUGGUGGGGUAAAGGCUCACCAAGCCGACGAUCUGUAGCUGGUCUGAGAGGACGACCAGCCACACUGGGACUGAUACACGGCCCAGACUCCUACGGGAGGCAGCAGUGGGGAAUUUUGGACAAUGGGCGAAAGCCUGCUCCAGCCAUGCCGCGUGCAGGAUGAAGGCCUUCGGGUUGUAAACUGCUUUUGUACGGAACGAAAAGGUUUGGCCUAAUAAGCUGAGCUCAUGACGGUACCGUAAGAAUAAGCACCGGCUAACUACGUGCCAGCCGCCGCCGUAA